AGUAAGAUCAUUUAAAGGGACCAAAAACGGAUGAACAUACUGGGCACUAUGGACUAAAAGAUCUUUGGCUAAAGAAGAGAUGAAGACUCAUUCAACUCCUACAAGUGAAUUAAGAAGGCAAAGCCAGCCCAGGAGGGUGGGAAGAUUAAGAACACUGUGCCUUGUCUUGAUACACAGUUGUGGUAUAGGUUUUUAGGUUGGUGCUAAAUGAUUAUGGUUGGUGGAAAAGUUAUCCUUUCUUCAUAUACACAGAUACACACAGAAGAUAUAUACAUACAAAGAAUUUAGGAAGGAUCAUCAAAAGAAAUUUUAUAUACUCAUCUUCAUCACCAUCAUCUUCAUUAUCAUCACAGAAUAAAGCUUAACUAAACAGGCUGAGCACAGCUUGAGUCUGGGACACCUGCAAGAGACAACAGCGGGAGGUGGAUUUGGUUCAUGGAAUGUUUUCGGCAAUAGUUCACUUUGUAUGCAAGUCUCAAACUGGAUUCUUCACAAGAGCUACACCCACCACAAGCACCUUAAAUAUUGCAUCUGUGCCCAAUUAUUAUCCUGGAAUUAAUGAAUAUGUGAAGUUUGGAACCAGAAGAAAUCUUGAAAAUCAUCCUCUCCAUGAUGCCAGUCCUGAUACCUUGUCAUUUUUAUUUUUUAGAUGAAGACAUUGACAAUAAGAAAAGUGAAGUUUCUGUCCUAAGAAAUGGAAAAGAAAAUACAGUGUAUUGAGCUUCUGCCAUGUGCCAGACACAUUAUCUAUGGGUGCUGUGUGUCACAGAUUAACCUCAUAAGGCCAGUUCCCCAAGGUCAAGUGUCUAUUUCAAUUUUUGCUCAUCUUUUACAUCAUUUUGUAGCAUAGGGCCUUACACUUAGCAGUUGCUCAAUAAAUAUGUAUGGCAUGAAUUAAUAACUGUUUUAUUAAAGACAAAGACACAGAAUAAGCCAGUGGCAGAAUAUGACUUAAGAUUCAAUUUUCCUGACACCUAAAGCCCUGUCCUUUUUAUUGUGUCACAAACUCAUCCACAAGUUUUCUAACUGAGUACAUGCUACCAAAGACUAGUCUUUGAGAGCAACGAGUCCCU
This 1073-nucleotide long non-coding RNA is filed under the name Macaca mulatta (Rhesus monkey). Its description in RNAcentral is "lncRNA (ENSMMUG00000052514.1)". Lineage: Eukaryota; Metazoa; Chordata; Mammalia; Primates; Cercopithecidae. The record is from RNAcentral.